Long non-coding RNA from Chinchilla lanigera (long-tailed chinchilla), 2146 nucleotides. Lineage: Eukaryota; Metazoa; Chordata; Mammalia; Rodentia; Chinchillidae. The record is from Ensembl.
CACCCAUGCUUCUGGCCCUGGCUCUGCCCCCUGUCUCCCCAGCUGUGUUUGGGUUGGGCCCAAGGUGCCAGCCUGCCUCGCCAGCAGCUUGGGGGACAUCUGAGCCCUCCAGGCCUGGCGCCAGGGCCCAAGUCACUGACUGAGGGUGGGGGAAGAGCCUGGGAGCCAGGUGGGGGCCUCUCCCUGCUGUCAGCACUCAUGAUGGAUGAGGGUUAGGGCAGGGAGCCGGGCCAGGGGGCUAGAGGCCUGCCUGCUGCAGGGGCGCUGGGGCUGGCCUCCUGCGGUCUGCAGGAAGAGCCUCUGCCACUCGCAGCUGGGGUGUGGGUCAGGGCUCCCACCCAGCAGGGGUGUUUAAAGGCCCAGAAGGUGCCGAGCCUGCCCACUCCCCUGCACCAUGGGCAUCUGGGCCUUGUCUGCAGCCCUUUUCCUGCUCUGUCUGACUCCCGAGAGCCUGCAAGGCGGGCUGCCCCCGCUCCCUGCUGGCCUGCGGAUAGGCUACGGCCCUCCCAGGGGGCUGGAAGCAGGCAUUGGAGCAGGUGUGAACCCUCAGAAGCCAGGAUAUGGAACCAGGCCAGGAGCUGCAGCCUUCCUAGGGGUGGGAGCACAGCCAGGCCCUGUGCCUCAGAAUGGCCAUGGACCAGGGCUCAGCAGUGGGAAUGGGAUGGGAGCUGGUCCCUUUCUGGGAGCUGGAGUCCAGCCAGGAUUUGCCAAUGGAAACAGCCUGGCACCCCAGCCAGGCCCUGCAGCUCCAAAUGGCUAUGGACCAGGCUAUGGAGGGGGUGUGAAUCCUCAGCAGCCAGGCUUUGGAGGGGACAUGAAACCUCAGAAAGCAGGGCUCCUGCAUGGGAAUGGGCUGGGAGCCCAGCCAGGUUUUGCAGGGGGCAGGAAGCCCCAGAAGCCAGGCCCUGCAGCUCUAAAUGGCUACGGACCAGGUAGGGGUGGGCUGGGAUUCUGGGGAGGCCCAAGGGUGAGGACCCCCAUGCUUCUCCCCAGCUCCCUGUCUCUCCUCCAGGCUACAGAGGGGGUGUGAAGCCCCAGCAGCCAGGUGAGGCCUGCCCCAUGCUGUCACCCCAGCCCCAGCUGAGCUCCCCUCCCCUCAUUCACACCACCUCCAUCCAUGACCCCAGCGCUCAGGCAGGGGUCUCCCAGGAGAGUCACCAGAAUCCUGGCUCUUAAGGUGGCAUCAAAGGCCCUUCUUCCCCCACCGUUGCCAGGGUCUGAACCCCCUGCUCACUCCCCCACAGGCCCCCCAGCUCAGAACAGCUAUGGAGCAGGCACUGCAGGACUGGGGGAGGCUAGGCAGAGGAGGCAGGGGGUGAGUCUCCACCCCUGGCCUGUCUGAAACCUUCCUCACCUCAGCCCCUCUUCUCCACAGGCCUUGUGUUUCCCCUCAGCCGUGGACCAGGUAGGGAGGGGUGGGCACUGGGGCCAGGGGCCAGGAACCCAGAGGAGAGGCCUAUGGUGAGGACGUCUGCGUUGCUCACUUGCCCUCUUUCCCUUCUCCAGCCAUCGAGGGGGGCAGGAAGCUCCAGAAGCCAGGUUAGCCUUUUCUGUCAACACCUCCCACCCCUGUCCUCCUACAAAUUGUCUGCUGCCCCUUCCCCUCCCAAGCCUCUGUCUCUGCGGGACACAGGACCAGGCUGAACGCUGCAGCUUUUCCCUGAGAAGGGGCCCAAGUGGGUGAGGGGCAGGAGGAUAGCGCUCCACGGCCUCCUUGGUCCUGUCUGUCUCUCCCCAGGCCUGCGGGGGCGGGGGGGGGGGACCUCUGAGGCCGGACAAGGGGGAGGCCCCACCUCCAGCUCCUGCCUCCUGGCUUCCCUUUCCCUCUGCCCCUCACACCCCCACUUUUCUUCCCCAGGAUACAGCAAUGGAAAUGGGCUGGUAGCCCAGUCAGGUGGGGCCACAAGGACCAGGCUUGGGGACCCAGGAGGGAGGGGGGUGUGGCUGGUGGGCAGGAAGCAGGAGCCCCUUGCCUGCCUGUUGUGGGCUGUGGAAGCUGAUCUUUCUCCACUCAGUUUUUUUUUUUUUUUUUUUUUUUUUUUUCUUUUUUGGGUACCGGGGAUCCAACUCACAACCUUGCGCUUGCCAGGCGGGAGUUUACGCCUCUGAGCUAUAUGCUAUCUCCCCUCAGCUGGUGGGUUGGCCC